AUUUAUUCCAGCCCCUUCAAGUAUCUUCCUUUUCCUUUCAACAGCCUCCUCCCUUGCUGGCAAAACAUCCUCAUUAUAGUAACGCAUCAAGGAUCUCUGUAUCCCACAACGUCCUAGUGAUCCUGGUAUUGCAGUUACUCUGCCAAAUGAAAAUAAUGUGGUUGUGAUGGUGCAUUUUUGAAAAGCUCCAUAGAAAAAUGAUAACAGAUGUACCAAAUAAUAAUAUGGGAGCCACUGAAUCACAGGAGGGGAAGGUUCUCCACAGUGAUGUUAGAUUCCAUCUCCUCUGUGGUCUGGUUCUCAACAUCUUUCACCUUUGGAAAGAAAUAGUGCCCAAAUAAUCUCCCUGCUCCAAACCAUCCUGUUCACUACUGUCAAGAGUCUCAUCUUGAAGCCAAGACCCCAUCUUGUCACCUUCUUCCUCAAGAACCUCUGCCUCUCAUCCUGCUUCCUAUUGUUCUUUUCCCUACCAAUAUCUCAUUUACAACUGCUGAGUCUUAACAAGUUAGGUGUGCUGGAGAUAUCACCAGAUAUAGAUUAAAAGAGAUCUGAGUUUGUGGAAGAUUAUAUUUUCUAGUGAUGGCCACAUCAAUAUCUCCCACCUCCCAUUCUCUUCUGCAGUGUGACCUUACUACUCCUCCCCAUUAAGAGAAGGAGUCUAUUUCUCCUCCUUCUUGAGUCUGGGCAGGUCCUGUGACUACCUUGACAAAAAAAAAACCACCAAAAAACAAAGAACCCCAAUAACAUCAACAACAACAAGAAAACCAGUAGAAGCUAUGCUAUGCCAGCUCCAGACAUCGUCCUUAACUAGCAUUGGCAGCACCGUACAAGAAGUGUGAUCACCCUGAUACUACCAAGCAUGUGAGAAAUCCACACUUGGAGAGGUCCUGUAGGAUAAAAAGUGAUGUGGAGCUGGAAAGACUCCAAGAAGCACUGAGGCGGCAGACAGGUAGAUGAGGAAACCACCUUGGAAGUUGAAUCCUCACACCAUCUGCCCCAGCUGAUGCUCCAUGGGUCAGAAACAAACCACAUGGCCAAACCCUUCUGGAAUUCCUGAUCCACAAGGAGGGGUGGGGGGCAGAUACAACAGUGGUUCCACACCACUAAAUUUUGGGGUGUUUUGUUACACAGCAAUAAACAACCAAAAUAGGGUUCUUGUUCCAUUUCUGUCUUUGAGUAAUCCAGUGACUCCAGAAGCUCUUUAUCCACCUCUAUGAGAUGUGGACACUGAUCCUUGACUAUCUACCUCAUGUACUUGCUGUAAUGUUCAAAGAUAAAUAGGUGAAAGUAUUG
This 1293-nucleotide long non-coding RNA is filed under the name Equus caballus (horse). Its description in RNAcentral is "lncRNA (ENSECAG00000028355.3)". The record is from RNAcentral. Lineage: Eukaryota; Metazoa; Chordata; Mammalia; Perissodactyla; Equidae.